Long non-coding RNA from Oncorhynchus tshawytscha (Chinook salmon), 214 nucleotides. RefSeq lists it as uncharacterized. The transcript is spliced from 3 exons. The record is from RefSeq and is a predicted model, not a curated record. Lineage: Eukaryota; Metazoa; Chordata; Actinopteri; Salmoniformes; Salmonidae.
GACUUCAUGGCGCCCACCGCCACCCCAUGGGCUGUCAUCUGCACCAUUAUGAAGAGGUGGCCGCGGAAACAGAUGAUCUGAUUCUGGUUAACAUUGAUGAUGGCAUCGUGUCGUCUUCCUCGUCCGACGGGGUUGACCUGCCGGACGUCCCGCUGGCGGCCAGAGAGUGUUUUCUAACACGGGCGGAGGGUCUCCAGAUGCACUCAUGACCUGG